ACGCUGGCGGCGUGCCUAAUACAUGCAAGUCGAACGGUCUUUUCUAUGGAAGCUUGCUUCCACUGAGAAGAUAGUGGCGAACGGGUGAGUAACACGUGGGUAACCUGCCCAUAAGAGGGGGGAUAACAUCCGGAAACGGGUGCUAAUACCGCAUAGUUUUCUUGAUCGCAUGAUCGGGAAAGGAAAGACGGCCUUUGUGCUGUCGCUUAUGGAUGGACCCGCGGCGUAUUAGUUAGUUGGUGAGGUAACGGCUCACCAAGACGAUGAUACGUAGCCGACCUGAGAGGGUGAUCGGCCACAUUGGGACUGAGACACGGCCCAAACUCCUACGGGAGGCAGCAGUAGGGAAUCUUCCGCAAUGGACGAAAGUCUGACGGAGCAACGCCGCGUGAGUGAAGGUAAAGGGUUUUCGGAUCGUAAAACUCUGUUGUCAGAGAAGAACAAGUUGGAGAGUAACUGCUCCAGCCUUGACGGUAUCUGACCAGAAAGCCACGGCUAACUACGUGCCAGCAGCCGC
RNAcentral lists this ribosomal RNA (517 nucleotides) under uncultured bacterium. RNAcentral's name for it is "bacterial SSU rRNA". It matches the Rfam family "Bacterial small subunit ribosomal RNA", at positions 33 to 518 of the family's 1533-position model. The record is from RNAcentral.